GACGAACGCUGGCGGCGUGCUUAACACAUGCAAGUCGAACGGAAAGGCCCUGCUUUUGUGGGGUGCUCGAGUGGCGAACGGGUGAGUAACACGUGAGUAACCUGCCCUUGACUUUGGGAUAACUUCAGGAAACUGGGGCUAAUACCGGAUAGGAGCUCCUGCUGCAUGGUGGGGGUUGGAAAGUUUCGGCGGUUGGGGAUGGACUCGCGGCUUAUCAGCUUGUUGGUGGGGUAGUGGCUUACCAAGGCUUUGACGGGUAGCCGGCCUGAGAGGGUGACCGGCAACAUUGGGACUGAGAUACGGACCAGACUCCUACGGGAGGCAGAAGUGGGGAAUAUUGCACAAUGGGCGGAAGCCUGAUGCAGAAACGCCGCGUGCGGGAUGACGGCCUUCGGGUUGUAAACCGCUUUCGCCUGUGACGAAGCGUGAGUGACGGUAAUGGGUAAAGAAGCACCGGCUAACUACGUG
This 468-nucleotide ribosomal RNA is filed under the name uncultured bacterium. Its description in RNAcentral is "partial 16S ribosomal RNA". It matches the Rfam family "Bacterial small subunit ribosomal RNA", at positions 28 to 507 of the family's 1533-position model. The record is from RNAcentral.